Molecule: unclassified non-coding RNA, 283 nt
Filed under: Hevea brasiliensis (rubber tree)
Lineage: Eukaryota; Viridiplantae; Streptophyta; Magnoliopsida; Malpighiales; Euphorbiaceae
Source: RNAcentral
GAGAGAGAGAGAGAGAUGAAAGAGAGAAGAGAUGGUGAUGUGGAGGAGGGAGAAAUGCCAAAAUGGUGAUACCACUCCAACAGUUUACCUGCAAACUAGCAAUAUUAGGUCACAAGAAUUUCAGUGUUACCUAAAUUGAUGUUCAUGGGGUUUUAUGUUACAAAUUGAAGUUAAGAGAUAACACUGUUAAAGUGCCUUAAGUUCAGGAACAAUUAAUGAAAUUUACCCCACUUAAGUAUCUCCAUCUUUUUUCAUGUGUUUGUCCUAACCAUAUGUUUCUUUU